AGCAUAUCCGGCCGGGCCAUCCCGGCGGGUCCCGCCCGGUCCCGCCCGGUGUCUCGGCCUUCCCAGCGCUCCCCAUGGCCCUGCCCGCCGUCCACAGAUGCCUCCAACUCAGUGAUGAAAAUGAACAGUUAGUCAAGAAGGUGAAAAGACUACACAUAAAAAAUAAGGAGCUAGAAAAGAAUCUGGGUCAGAUCCAAGAAAAGUUGCAUCUGCAGCAGUUAAUGCAUGACUGUGGCACAAGCAGAGAUGUUCAGGUUCAAACAGAAACCCAUUUAUGGCGUAAGAGUGGAGACAGCAAGGAUUUUGUUCUAGAGUGUGACAGUGUCAGACUGCUUCCUAUGUAUAAUGAGCUACAGAAACGUUACGUUAGAGAAAGCAAAAAAAACAAGGAGCAAAGUGAAGCAAUUAAAAAUCUCACUAUUAAAAUUCAUGAGCUAGAGCAUAAUCUUCAAGAGCAGAGGCAAAGAAUUGAACAACUGGAAUGUAAAAAGGUUUCUUGGAAAACUAGUGCUGUUUCUGGAAAAAGAAGUCGAACCUCAGAGGGAGAAAUAACUUCUCACAGAGACAUUUCUGAAGAGAAGGAAUCCUGUUGCAGUAAAUAUUUAGAGCUAUUGUUGAAGGAGAUUAAAAAGCUGAAGAAAGAAAAUGCAAAGUUGUCUGCAGAAAAGAGAGCACUAAAAAAUGAAUUAGCUGGAUUAGACAAGGAAUUUUUUGAAGAGGUAGAAGAUCUAAAGCAUGCUGUACAGGAAUGUCUGAAACUGAACUAUGAGUACGAAAAAUGCUUGAAACAAAUAAGUGUAAUGUAUGGGCUUCCUUUUACAGCACAUUUGUAAAUACUGGUUAAUUUAAUGGCAAGUAGAGUUUCCACUUUUUUUUUUUUUUAUACUUACUGCAACAUUUAAACCUACCAUGGCUUAAGUGGUACCUCGUUUUGAUAAUGUUAUGGAUUCAUUAAUAUGAUCCUAACAAGCUUCUCUGAAAUGUUUUUGUAUUUUGUGC
This 999-nucleotide long non-coding RNA is filed under the name Lepidothrix coronata (blue-crowned manakin). Its description in RNAcentral is "lncRNA (ENSLCOG00000015841.1)". Lineage: Eukaryota; Metazoa; Chordata; Aves; Passeriformes; Pipridae. The record is from RNAcentral.